RNAcentral lists this transfer RNA (73 nucleotides) under Camelus bactrianus (Bactrian camel). It matches the Rfam family "tRNA". From Rfam's summary of the family: Transfer RNA (tRNA) molecules are approximately 80 nucleotides in length. RNAcentral also lists the same sequence under 2 other names. Lineage: Eukaryota; Metazoa; Chordata; Mammalia; Artiodactyla; Camelidae. The record is from Rfam by way of RNAcentral.
GAGGGUAUAGCUCAAGUGGUAGAGCACAUGCUUAGCAUGCAUGAGGUCCUGGGUUCAAUUCCCAGUACCUAUU